Molecule: long non-coding RNA, 1245 nt
Filed under: Papio anubis (olive baboon)
Lineage: Eukaryota; Metazoa; Chordata; Mammalia; Primates; Cercopithecidae
Description: lncRNA (ENSPANG00000045610.1)
Source: RNAcentral
AUGACUCUUAACGUUCCCAAGCGCACCCUGAGAGGCAGGUGCAGCAGCUUUCCGACGGCUCCUCUGCCGCCUGUGUAUCCCAGCCCCAAGACCAACACCGGCAAUCUUCACAUCCGACUUUAUUUUUUUAACUCCUUCAGAUCUACCUCCGCUCAAGUCUAUCAAGAGGAAAACAAGAGCGUUCCAAACACACACCGAGCAACAGGAUCCCAACUUCCUGGUUCUAAAGGAAUGCGAUGCCCUGAUGACCCGUCCCGCCCCGCACCCGCACGGCCGCCUACCCGGGCUCCGGCGGAACCGAGGGGCGAGCAGCGAGGCUGGCGCCGCACUGCGGGUGCCGGCGCCCGCCGGGCCUGGGGGCGCUCGCGGCUCGCGACCCCGGCCCCGCCCAGGCCCUGCCCGACCCCAGUCCCUGCCGGCCUUGGCCCAGACCCAGCCCUGACCCUGGCCCGGUCUUCGGGGCACCCAGCUCCGUCGACUCCCGCCUCGCCUCAGCGGGUCCUCCUCAGCCCCGGCCCUGGCCUUCCCCUGCCCUGGCCCUGGCCCUCUUCAGCCCGUUUUUCCCUGCCCCGGCCCCGGUCCUCCUCAGCCCCGGCUUUCCCCAGCCCCGGCCCCGGCCCCAGUCCUCCUCAGCCCCGGCCCUUCCCGUGCCCUAGCCCCGGUGCUCAGCCCGGCCCCGGCCUUCCCCUGCCCCGGCACCGGCCCGAGGCCCGGCCCUGCCCGCCGCGGCCGCGUCCUCCGGGAAGAUGGCGGCGCAGUGACAGGCGGCGCGGCGCGGGUCCGAGCUGGGCCGGGAGGGACCGCCCGCCGCGACCCAGGGUGCCUCACCUGUCAGCGCCGCCGCCCCGCCCGACCGGCCGCCCGCGGGCUCCUCGCCUCAGCCCCGGGACCCGGCGGCCGCGCCACACGCGGGGACGGCGAGGAGAGAGACGGCAGGGAGAGGCGGCGCGGCCGGGCCGGGCCGGAGGUAGGGGAGAGGGCGAGGGCGGGCGCGGGCUGGCGGCGGCGGCGGCGGAUUCUUCCCCUUUCGGGCCCGAAAAUGUCUCAACCCCGGGACUCCAGAUCCCCAACGCUCCUUCCCGUUCGCAUGAGAACACACAGCUCCCACUUCCGGGACCCUGCGGAAGUCCCGCCCCCGCGCGGACCCGCGCUCCGCGCCCUGCCCUCUCGCACUCACCCGCCGGUCCCGCGGACUGGCGCUCAGCACCCGGGAGAGCCUCACGUCAUGGCGUUGCGGCGAGCUGA